UGGGGAAUAUUGCACAAUGGGCGCAAGCCUGAUGCAGCCAUGCCGCGUGUAUGAAGAAGGCCUUCGGGUUGUAAAGUACUUUCAGCGGGGAUGAAGGGAGUAAAGUUAAUACCUUUGCUCAUUGACGUUACCCUCAGAAGAAGCACCGGCUAACUCCGUGCCAGCAGCCGCGGUAAUACGGAGGGUGCAAGCGUUAAUCGGAAUUACUGGGCGUAAAGCGCACGCAGGCGGUUUGUUAAGUCAGAUGUGAAAUCCCCGGGCUCAACCUGGGAACUGCAUCUGAUACUGGCAAGCUUGAGUCUCGUAGAGGGGGGUAGAAUUCCAGGUGUAGCGGUGAAAUGCGUAGAGAUCUGGAGGAAUACCGGUGGCGAAGGCGGCCCCCUGGACGAAGACUGACGCUCAGGUGCGAAAGCGUGGGGAGCAAACA
This 427-nucleotide ribosomal RNA is filed under the name uncultured bacterium. RNAcentral's name for it is "partial 16S ribosomal RNA". It matches the Rfam family "Bacterial small subunit ribosomal RNA", at positions 355 to 774 of the family's 1533-position model. The record is from RNAcentral.